AUGAACGCUGGCGGCGUGCCUAAUACAUGCAAGUCGAGCGAACAGACGAGGAGCUUGCUCCUCUGACGUUAGCGGCGGACGGGUGAGUAACACGUGGAUAACCUACCUAUAAGACUGGGAUAACUUCGGGAAACCGGAGCUAAUACCGGAUAAUAUAUUGAACCGCAUGGUUCAAUAGUGAAAGACGGUUUUGCCGUCACUUAUAGAUGGAUCCGCGCCGCAUUAGCUAGUUGGUAAGGUAACGGCUUACCAAGGCAACGAUGCGUAGCCGACCUGAGAGGGUGAUCGGCCACACUGGAACUGAGACACGGUCCAGACUCCUACGGGAGGCAGCAGUAGGGAAUCUUCCGCAAUGGGCGAAAGCCUGACGGAGCAACGCCGCGUGAGUGAUGAAGGUCUUCGGAUCGUAAAACUCUGUUAUUAGGGAAGAACAAAUGUGUAAGUAACUAUGCACGUCUUGACGGUACCUAAUCAGAAAGCCACGGCUAACUACGU
This 495-nucleotide ribosomal RNA is filed under the name uncultured bacterium. RNAcentral describes it as "partial 16S ribosomal RNA". It matches the Rfam family "Bacterial small subunit ribosomal RNA", at positions 29 to 506 of the family's 1533-position model. The record is from RNAcentral.